This 288-nucleotide ribosomal RNA is filed under the name uncultured bacterium. RNAcentral's name for it is "partial 16S ribosomal RNA". It matches the Rfam family "Bacterial small subunit ribosomal RNA", at positions 773 to 1060 of the family's 1533-position model. The record is from RNAcentral.
GUGGAUUAGAUACCCUAGUAGUCCACACUGUAAACGAUGAAUGCUAGGUGUAGGAGGUAUCGACCCCUUCUGUGCCGCAGUUAACACAAUAAGCAUUCCGCCUGGGGAGUACGGCCGCAAGGUUGAAACUCAAAGGAAUUGACGGGGGCCCGCACAAGCAGCGGAGCAUGUGGUUUAAUUCGACGCAACGCGAAGAACCUUACCAGGUCUUGACAUCCAGUAAAGCCCGUAGAGAUACGGAGUGUGCUUGCACAUACUGAGACAGGUGGUGCAUGGCUGUCGCCAACU